This 468-nucleotide ribosomal RNA is filed under the name uncultured bacterium. RNAcentral describes it as "partial 16S ribosomal RNA". It matches the Rfam family "Bacterial small subunit ribosomal RNA", at positions 28 to 507 of the family's 1533-position model. The record is from RNAcentral.
GAUGAACGCUGGCGGCGUGCCUAAUACAUGCAAGUCGAACGGAAAGGCGAUGAUUUUGCUGCUUGGUCGUGUGGGGAACGCGUGAGUAACACGUGUGUAAACCGUACCUGACUUUGGGAUAACACUAGGAGACAGCGGCUAUUAUCGGAUAGGAGCUCCUGCUGCAUGGGGGUGGAUGGAAAGAUUCGGCGGUGGGGGCUGGAAUAGCGGCUUAUCCGCUGGCUAGGGGAGUAGGGACUGUCCAAGCCUUUGAAGGGUAGCCGGCCUGAGAGGGUGACCGGCGACAUUGGUACUGAGAUACGGCCCAGACUCCUACGGGACGCAGCAGUGGGGAAUAUUGCAGAAUGAGCGGACGCCUGAUGCAGCAACGCCGCGUGCGGGAUGACGGCCUUCGGGUUGUAAACCGAUUUCGCCUGUGACGAAGCGUGAGUGACGGUAAUGGGUAAAGAAGCACCGGCUAACUACGUG